GGGUUUGUUUGUUUUUCUGGCAACACUUGAGCUUGAAAUCUUAAAGUGAUAAAAGUGAGCAGAGUUUCUCCAAGGUUAUCAGCUGAAGAGCUGAAUCUUAAAGCUCUGUUUUAAAAAGCACAUGGACAGAGCUUUCAGAGGGCUGAGUGAACAGGGUACAAAAUAGACCAGUCUUCCCUUGAAUUUCAGAUCAUUGCUGCUUGAUAUUAAAAAGAACUAUUAUGUUUUGGGUCCAUAAUAUAUUAUUAAAAGAUUAGUGAAAGUAUAAGUUACUUCAAUCCAUUCCCUUAGCAGUUUCCUUUAUUUCUUGAUAACGUUAUUUUACUAGACAGAAACACACUUUGGAGAGUAAAACUCUGUAAUCCUUUUUCUUUGUUUUUCAUGGAUCUUAUGUCUUUUCUCAAUAGUUUAAGUAUUUUAGCAGAUUUGAAAGGGUAUGCUUGAAGUUCCUUUUUUAUUCCUGAAAACAUUCAUGCAUGUCUUUCUUCAUCCUUGAAAUGGGAGCUCAGAUUUUUGAGAAAGUCUAAUAAUUGUAACUGGGUCAGUGUACACAGACCACAGAUCACAGUGUAAACAUCCCAAAGGGAUGCUCCAGCUAUCCAGUAGGGGACAUUUAUCCACCUGUCACAGUUAGGUGACUAAUAAGGAGUCCUAGAAUGGAUGAACAAAACUGAGAUGCUUGCACUUGCCAUUUAUUUUUAAAAGUUCUGUUCAUUGAAAUUACGUGAAGCAUCAGUUUUGCAGUUGAGACUCCUGGGAAGAUUACGGGUAAUUUCUUUCCAGUUCUUACAGAUUUUUGGGAUGACUUGAGACAGGCAAUAUAAGUUAAGACACUGAAAGAUAUUUUAACACUUCAGAUUUUCUGUGGAUUUACAUAGGAUUCAAAAGACCUAAACAACUAAGCGGUAUCUCCAAGGAUGUAUUUAGGCUGAUCAGAAAGAUUUAAGCAUGACAGUACGACUGUAAAAACUCAACCAUUAGGAUUAUAUGAGAAGUGAGUGAAUGCCACAUCGUUCACAUGAGAAGGGCAUAAACUCUCAGCUACAUCACUAGCUGUCAUGUUUGCUCCACUGUGGUUCAGGGAAAGCAGCAGCUAUAUGCAGUCUGCUGGAGUGCCAAAGCAGCUCUUUUAGCUGACACAUACACGCUCUUGAAAAUGACACAAAGCAUCAAAUCCUGCUUAAAAACAAGCGAGUGGCAGUCAUCUCUACUUUAAAGAAUUGUUUACAAACUUUUAUCCAGAAACUGGGUCACAUUCUCUCCAACCGAAAGACUUAACAAACCACUUACUUACUUAUCAACCAAAAGAAAAUUCACCUCAAUAUACAUACAGUAGUCUCACUUCCUGCCCUUCCUGUUUAAAGUGAGCCACUGAGUCCAACAGCACGCAUGAUUCAUGCAGAGAGAGGAAGAGGAUAAAUGAAAAGAGCCUGCUUAUAGCCCGCUGCCAGGAAAACCCUAGAAAAGGAGAAGUCCAGAGUUCUGUUCCUUGCUUCGGGGAUGCCAAAUGUAUUUGCAAUACAAGAUUCUUUGGUAAAAUUCUUGAACAAUGUAGUAUGAAGUCUCAGUGUCACUCCAUACUUCAGCUUCCCCUCUGUGGAAAGCAAGAUUUCCCAUCUCCUGUCUGUCAUCCACCCUGACAUUACAGUGACAUUUUCAGAAAGAACAUUUUCAGGGCAAGGACGGCUCUUUGUAAAACCUAUGUGGACAGAGCUCCACUUAAUGAAGCGUGCUGUGCACUGAGGACACCUUGUUUUCAGCAGCAUACACCUCGCCAUGUGCCACCCAAGAACAAAAUCUCCUCCUACACCUUAUAUCUGUCCUAGAAAUAAAAUAAAAGCAGAAACUUCAGACAGUGGUUACCUACCACUUUUAUAGCCCCGCUCCCAGUAAAGCCAUGCAGCGUGGAGGCACAGCUGAUGUGUGCACAGAUGGGCAC
Long non-coding RNA from Gallus gallus (chicken), 1939 nucleotides. The record is from Ensembl. NCBI's taxonomy places the organism in Eukaryota, Metazoa, Chordata, Aves, Galliformes, Phasianidae.